AGCUUUGCGCAGUGGCAGUAUCGUAGCCAAUGAGGUUUAUCCGAGGCGCGAUUAUUGCUAAUUGAAAACUUUUUGUAAUCAUAUAGGUUUUUUUUUCCUAAAGUAUUUUGGGAUGCAAUUUCUUUUAAUAGAUCAAAAUA
Non-coding RNA from Mustela putorius furo (domestic ferret), 140 nucleotides. The record is from Rfam. Lineage: Eukaryota; Metazoa; Chordata; Mammalia; Carnivora; Mustelidae.